Long non-coding RNA from Anopheles funestus (African malaria mosquito), 599 nucleotides. RefSeq lists it as uncharacterized. The transcript has 5 exons. The record is from RefSeq and is a predicted model, not a curated record. NCBI's taxonomy places the organism in Eukaryota, Metazoa, Arthropoda, Insecta, Diptera, Culicidae.
AAGGAUCAGGAAGCAGGAUGCAAGUGCCGCAGUGUGAAAUACUUCGUCAAAAAAGCGCGUGUUUUCUAACAACUGUGCCCACGCGUCCCUUUGGCCUACUGCUUUAAAGUUGACAUUCAUACUUCUUGAUGAAUGAUGGUCAUUUAAAAGGAACAAAUUAUUGGACAUGCUCGUGAUUAUCCAGCUCUAUGAUGCACCUGCCAAUGGAAGUGAAAGACAAGCCAACCUUAGUAUUGGUUGUUUUUGCUGCUGAUCGGUUCUAAAUCGGAUACUGGAAACCGCUGCUGUUAGUGCUCUGCAUUGGAUUUUUUCUUCGCUUUGCUCACAGUGCGUGACCUUGGUUUGUUGUGGCAAUCUAUCAGUCAAUUAACAGUCCCUUCAGCAAAACAAGUUCGGUCCUCCGUACACAUCUGAUUUCCGUAAGAAUUACGCCUCAAAUUCGAAGGAGACAAUGUUCUAUCGCCACCUAGCGCCUCUACAAAUCGCGACUGAUACGCCUUGCCGUUGAACAUCCGUCCAAGAUAACAUAAUGCGAUCAGGUCGAAUCAUAAAUUAAUUCAAGAGUCUCCAUUCGAUACGAGAUUAUUAUUGGUUGGAAC